This 468-nucleotide ribosomal RNA is filed under the name uncultured bacterium. Its description in RNAcentral is "partial 16S ribosomal RNA". It matches the Rfam family "Bacterial small subunit ribosomal RNA", at positions 28 to 507 of the family's 1533-position model. The record is from RNAcentral.
GACGAACGCUGGCGGCGUGCUUAACACAUGCCAGUCGAACGGAAAGGCCCUGCUUUUGUGGGGUGCUCGAGUGGCGAACGGGUGAGUAACACGUGAGUAACCUGCCCUUGACUUUGGGAUAACUUCAGGAAACUGGGGCUAAUACCGGAUAGGAGCUCCUGCUGCAUGGUGGGGGUUGGAAAGUUUCGGCGGUUGGGGAUGGACUCGCGGCUUAUCAGCUUGUUGGUGGGGUAGUGGCUUACCAAGGCUUUGACGGGUAGCCGGCCUGAGAGGGUGACCGGCCACAUUGGGACUGAGAUACGGCCCAGACUCCUACGGGAGGCAGCAGUGGGGAUUAUUGCACAAUGGGCGGAAGCCUGAUGCAGCAACGCCGCGUGCGGGAUGACGGCCUUCGGGUUGUAAACCGCUUUCGCCUGUGACGAAGCGUGAGUGACGGUAAUGGGUAAAGAAGCACCGGCUAACUACGUG